RNAcentral lists this ribosomal RNA (468 nucleotides) under uncultured bacterium. RNAcentral's name for it is "partial 16S ribosomal RNA". It matches the Rfam family "Bacterial small subunit ribosomal RNA", at positions 28 to 507 of the family's 1533-position model. The record is from RNAcentral.
GACGAACGCUGGCGGCGCGCCUAACACAUGCAAGUCGAACGGAGCUGAGAGAAGCUUGCUUUUCUUAGCUUAGUGGCGAACGGGUGAGUAACGCGUGAGUAACCUGCCCUGGAGUGGGGGACAACAGUUGGAAACGACUGCUAAUACCGCAUAAGCCCACGAUCCGGCAUCGGAUUGAGGGAAAAGGAUUUAUUCGCUUCAGGAUGGACUCGCGUCCAAUUAGCUAGUUGGUGAGGUAACGGCCCACCAAGGCGACGAUUGGUAGCCGGACUGAGAGGUUGAACGGCCACAUUGGGACUGAGACACGGCCCAGACUCCUACGGGAGGCAGCAGUGGGGGAUAUUGCACAAUGGGGGAAACCCUGAUGCAGCGACGCCGCGUGGAGGAAGAAGGUUUUCGGAUUGUAAACUCCUGUCGUUAGGCACGAUAAUGACGGUACCUAACAAGAAAGCACCGGCUAACUACGUG